RNAcentral lists this ribosomal RNA (493 nucleotides) under uncultured bacterium. RNAcentral describes it as "partial 16S ribosomal RNA". It matches the Rfam family "Bacterial small subunit ribosomal RNA", at positions 29 to 523 of the family's 1533-position model. The record is from RNAcentral.
AUUGAACGCUGGCGGCAUGCUUUACACAUGCAAGUCGAACGGUAACAGGUUAAGCUGACGAGUGGCGAACGGGUGAGUAAUGCAUCGGAACGUGCCCGAUCGUGGGGGAUAACGCAGCGAAAGCUGCGCUAAUACCGCAUACGAUCUGAGGAUGAAAACGGGGGACCGUAAGGCCUCGCGCGAUCGGAGCGGCCGAUGUCAGAUUAGGUAGUUGGUGGGGUAAAGGCCCACCAAGCCGACGAUCUGUAGCUGGUCUGAGAGGACGACCAGCCACACUGGGACUGAGACACGGCCCAGACUCCUACGGGAGGCAGCAGUGGGGAAUUUUGGACAAUGGGCGAAAGCCUGAUGCAGCAAUGCCGCGUGCAGGAAGAAGGCCUUCGGGUUGUAAACUGCUUUUGUACGGAGCGAAAAGGCCCUUUCUAAUACAAGGGGCUCAUGACGGUACCGUAAGAAUAAGCACCGGCUAACUACGUGCCAGCAGCCGCGGUAA